Non-coding RNA from Vicugna pacos (alpaca), 495 nucleotides. Lineage: Eukaryota; Metazoa; Chordata; Mammalia; Artiodactyla; Camelidae. The record is from RefSeq and is a predicted model, not a curated record.
UCAGAAUAAAAGUUGACAGCAAAUAAAGAAGAGAAGAUUUUUCAAGAGAAGAUUCUGCGCACCUCUCUAUUGAAAAUGGAGCAUGAAAAAAUAAAAUUCAACAGGCUUAAGUGAUGGUGGAGCCACUGCAUGAAUUUCACUCUAUUAUUGAAUGAAGAAAGCCGAGGCUGGUGAUACUGAGAAAGCGUGAGAGAGAAAAAAAGAUAUCACAGUGACAGCACACUCCUGCAGCGGUCCAUCUGAAAGCAAGCAAAGCAAUCCCUGAAGGGGGCUGAGAACUGAGAGCUACCAGUAGGCAGCCCUCCUGGUAACCUGCAACAAGUUCUUCAUUUCUGAAGGAGGAUAUGGGCAGCACAUCACAGUAUCCACCACAGCUUCAUGCAACCAAUGUUGGAGGGCACUAAGACAAUUUACCUAGAUCCAAUAAACAGGAAAUUCAAGCUACCUGGGGCAGAAAUGUACCCCUGCCCCGCCUCAACAGUUCACUUGUAAUGA